UCUUGACAUCCACAGAACUUGGCAGAGAUGCCUUGGUGCCUUCGGGAACUGUGAGACAGGUGCUGCAUGGCUGUCGUCAGCUCGUGUUGUGAAAUGUUGGGUUAAGUCCCGCAACGAGCGCAACCCUUAUCCUUUGUUGCCAGCGGUCCGGCCGGGAACUCAAAGGAGACUGCCAGUGAUAAACUGGAGGAAGGUGGGGAUGACGUCAAGUCAUCAUGGCCCUUACGACCAGGGCUACACACGUGCUACAAUGGCAUAUACAAAGAGAAGCGACCUCGCGAGAGCAAGCGGACCUCAUAAAGUAUGUCGUAGUCCGGAUUGGAGUCUGCAACUCGACUCCAUGAAGUCGGAAUCGCUAGUAAUCGUGGAUCAGAAUGCCACGGUGAAUACGUUCCCGGGCCUUGUACACACCGCCCGUCACACCAUGGGAGUGGGUUGCAAAAGAAGUAGGUAG
RNAcentral lists this ribosomal RNA (454 nucleotides) under Salmonella enterica. RNAcentral describes it as "bacterial SSU rRNA". It matches the Rfam family "Bacterial small subunit ribosomal RNA", at positions 979 to 1433 of the family's 1533-position model. Lineage: Bacteria; Pseudomonadati; Pseudomonadota; Gammaproteobacteria; Enterobacterales; Enterobacteriaceae. The record is from RNAcentral.